UUUCAAACGGCUCGCACACGACGGGGACGGCCUCCUUCAGAAAGCAACACCAACGGGAGGGAGGAGGGGAGUGAAACAAAAUAUGAAAAUGCCCAAAACCAAAGGAAAAAAAACCCCACCCGCCCCAUCCUUCCGCCUGGUCUAGAAGGGAGCACCUCCCGUCAACCUGGGAUUUUCCCCAAACGCUCCGGGGGAACCGUCCGGAUCUACCGGUUGGACGAGGCGAGGCGGCCCUCGCGCCACCCGGGCGGCGUCCGUGGCGGCCUCUCGCGCCCUCCGGCGAGGUCGCGCCGGGUUGGGGAAGCCCAUCCCCGGCCUCGACCCGUGGCUCUACUUCCAAGAGUCACCGGGCCCUCGACGCCGGCCUCGCACCGUGAACGCGCGGCCCAAGCCCCCGCCCCCCAACGGAGCCCCUCGGCCGGGGCUCUUUUCGGGAACCGAGGUCGAUUCAGGUCGCGCACCUCUCCGGGGCAUCCUGCCGUGCUCUACCCUCCGUUCCCCCCCGGCCGACGUGGAGCCGACGGCUACCGGGGCUCAGCCCGGCCUGCCCACGCGCCGUUAGCGAGCGGCCUCCCGGAGGCCCGGCGCUCCCGGAGGGGGGGCUUCGGGUUCCUUCUGGCGGCCCGCUCGGGGGCCCUCGGAGGUGGUGGCCGGCUCCCGGCCCCGGCCGAGGCCCCGGCUCGGCGGCGCUUCCCGGACCCACGACCCGGCGGGGGCGGCCGCCUCGGGGGCUCCUCGGCCCUACCGCCGUCCCCUCCGCCCGCCGGCUCCCUCCUUCGGUCCCCCCGGCCCCGCGCGUUAGAGCCGGGGGCCCUGCACUCACCAGGCCUCGGCGGAGUCCCGCGGCGACGUGGGGAGGACGGGGGAAGGGGAGCGAGGAGGAGGCGGCGGACAGCGCCGCUAGGCUUCUCAAUCAACUUUAUUAGUAGCCCCGCCACGGACACGGGCCGCCGGCGCUCGCUCACUCGCUCCCCUGACCGACCGGCCGGCCGACCGGCGAGGAGGACCCGGAUGGUGGUGGUUGGAAGGGGCGGGAAAACCAAGCCGGGGGAAGCGGUCCCAGACGCCCGCAGAGCCGUAGGGCUUCGGCGCAUGCGCCCCCACCCUCCGCGCUCGGGCGCGCCGAAAAGAGCUCGCCGAGGCGGCGGAAGGCGGAGGCCGCUAGCGGACCGCCCGGUUUCCGCACAUUUCUGGGAGGCCGGCCGGGCCGCCACCGGGCCGCCACCGGGCCGGGGAGUCGGAGGUCAUCCGUUCGAAUCCCGGCUCUGCCGCUGGUCAGCUGGAGGAGGACUUUGGGCAAGUCGCUUCACUUCUCUGGGCCUCAGUUACCUCAUCUGGAAAGUGGGUAUGAAUAAUAAUAUUGGUAUUUGUUAA
This 1374-nucleotide long non-coding RNA is filed under the name Ornithorhynchus anatinus (platypus). RNAcentral's name for it is "lncRNA (ENSOANG00000042193.1)". The record is from RNAcentral. Lineage: Eukaryota; Metazoa; Chordata; Mammalia; Monotremata; Ornithorhynchidae.